GCGAUACACUAAACACCAAGCUUUACUAGUCAACACCAAGAAACAAUCAUACAGAUUGUUAAGUCCACUUUUACACGAAGGUGACAACAUGGCAAAAGAAUGUUUAAGGCUUCCAUAGCUUCAUGGUGCAGUCUUCUCCAUAUGUGGCAACAAGGUUUAUAUGGGGAUGGUGAGUGAUACCAAUUACAUCCUUUUCAUGUACCUUCAUCAGAUGCUCCAGUUUGUUUGAUUGAUAACUAAAGCAGUACAAGUUUCUGUCUUCACCUACACAGUAUAUCCAUUCUCCUUUUGGUGAUAGACAAGCAGCCACAAAGUCUCCACCUUCUCUUUUACCA
Molecule: unclassified non-coding RNA, 335 nt
Filed under: Hevea brasiliensis (rubber tree)
Lineage: Eukaryota; Viridiplantae; Streptophyta; Magnoliopsida; Malpighiales; Euphorbiaceae
Source: RNAcentral